AUGGCUUAACCAUAGAACUGCUUGGGAAACUGAUAAUCUAGAGUGAGGGAGAGGCAGAUGGAAUUGGUGGUGUAGGGGUAAAAUCCGUAGAGAUCACCAGGAAUACCCAUUGCGAAGGCGAUCUGCUGGAACUCAACUGACGCUAAUGCGUGAAAGCGUGGGGAGCAAACAGGAUUAGAUACCCUGGUAGUCCACGCCCUAAACGAUGUAUACUAGUUGUUGCUAAGCUAGUCUUGGCAGUAAUGCACCUAACGGAUUAAGUAUACCGCCUGGGGAGUACGGUCGCAAGAUUAAAACUCAAAGGAAUAGACGGGGACCCGCACAAGCGGUGGAGCAUGUGGUUUAAUUCGAAGAUACGCGAAGAACCUUACCCGGACUUGAUAUCUAACAAAUCAUCUAGAGAUAGAAGAGUGUCUGCUUGCAGAAAUGUUAAGACAGGUGCUGCACGGCUGUCGUCAGCUCGUGUCGUGAGAUGUUGGGUUAAGUCCCGCAACGAGCGCAACCCACGUCAUUAGUU
Molecule: ribosomal RNA, 517 nt
Filed under: uncultured Campylobacter sp.
Lineage: Bacteria; Pseudomonadati; Campylobacterota; Epsilonproteobacteria; Campylobacterales; Campylobacteraceae
Description: bacterial SSU rRNA
Rfam family: Bacterial small subunit ribosomal RNA
Source: RNAcentral